This 405-nucleotide ribosomal RNA is filed under the name uncultured bacterium. RNAcentral's name for it is "partial 16S ribosomal RNA". It matches the Rfam family "Bacterial small subunit ribosomal RNA", at positions 28 to 526 of the family's 1533-position model. The record is from RNAcentral.
GACGAACGCUGGCGGCGUGCUUAACACAUGCAAGUCGAGCGGAGCGGCGAACGGGUGAGUAACGGGUGAGUAACUGCCCCCCUCUCUGGGAUAACAGUUGGAAACGGCUGCUAAUACCGGAUAGUGGUGGAUGACUCGCGUCCUAUCAGCUUGUUGGUGGGGUAGUGGCAUAUCAAGGGGACGACGGGUCGCCGGCCUGCGAGGUGGACCGGCCACAAGAGGCUCAGAGAGGGCCCAAACUGGAACGGGGGGCAGCGGUGGGGAAUAUUGCACAAUGGGGGAAACCCUGAUGCAGCAGCGCCGCGUGCGGGAUGACGGUCUUGGGGUUGUAAACCGCUUUCAGCCAUGACGCGGUAGUGGCAGAAGAAGCACCGGCUAACUACGUGCCAGCAGCCGCGGUAAUUC